Molecule: ribosomal RNA, 253 nt
Filed under: uncultured bacterium
Lineage: Bacteria
Description: partial 16S ribosomal RNA
Rfam family: Bacterial small subunit ribosomal RNA
Source: RNAcentral
UACGUAGGGUGCAAGCGUUAAUCGGAAUUACUGGGCGUAAAGCGUGCGCAGGCGGUUUUGUAAGACAGGUGGGAAAUCCCCGGGCUUAACCUGGGAACUGCAUUUGUGACUGCAUAGCUAGAGUACGGUAGAGGGGGAUGGAAUUCCGCGUGUAGCAGUGAAAUGCGUAGAUAUGCGGAGGAACACCGAUGGCGAAGGCAAUCCCCUGGACCUGUACUGACGCUCAUGCACGAAAGCGUGGGGAGCAAACAGG